CCUACGGGCGGCAGCAGUGGGGAAUAUUGGACAAUGGGGGGAACCCUGAUCCAGCGACGCCGCGUGAGUGAAGAAGUAUUUCGGUAUGUAAAGCUCUAUCAGCAGGGAAGAAAGAAAUGACGGUACCUGACUAAGAAGCCCCGGCUAACUACGUGCCAGCAGCCGCGGUAAUACGUAGGGGGCAAGCGUUAUCCGGAUUUACUGGGUGUGAAGGGAGCGUAGACGGCGAUGCAAGUCUGAAGUGAAAGGCGGGGGCCCAACCCCCGGACUGCUUUGGAAACUGUAUGGCUGGAGUGCAGGAGAGGUAAGUGGAAUUCCUAGUGUAGCGGUGAAAUGCGUAGAGAUUAGGAGGAACACCAGUGGCGAAGGCGGCUUACUGGACUGUAACUGACGUUGAGGCUCGAAAGCGUGGGGAGCAAACAGGAUUAGAUACCCUUGUAGUC
Molecule: ribosomal RNA, 443 nt
Filed under: uncultured bacterium
Lineage: Bacteria
Description: partial 16S ribosomal RNA
Rfam family: Bacterial small subunit ribosomal RNA
Source: RNAcentral